CUGCGAUACCAGAUACAACCUGUGGAGAGCGGUGGCACUGUUUUUUCAUAUCCUAGAUAACCCCCUUUAACAGCAGCACCGCUCUAAGGGCAAUCACUUUUAGACAUGGACACGGCUGUAUGCCAAAAGACAGGCUUUCUGGCCCAAGUCUGAUGGGAGUAGUAUAUUUAGUCACAGACCAUCUCGAUUAGAGACCUCCUCGUCUUGUGUGGGCAGCCAUACUCAGCCACUAUUUGUUAGAUGCAGACGGGUAACAUCACCACAGAGAAAAGAAGGAAAAAAAUAAAAAUAUGGCCAGACAGGAGAGCCUUUCCCAAAAGUAGCGCUUUUCGACAACUUCUAGCAUGCUGGGAGUUGUAGUUCUAUAGCCACUGGCCAGAAAUCAAUAAAGCGUGCAUUACCAGCUCACAAGUACAAACAGUGGUCCUGUGGCUAAAUAUGGCUGCCUACACAUACCAAGUAUAAGAGCAAAGGAGUCCCUUAGCAUAGAAGUCAGCAACCUCACGCACUCCAGUGGUUGUGAAACUACAACUCCCAGCAUGCUACAGGAGUGUGCAUGUUGAGAGUUGUAGCAGGAGGCUGCUCAAUCCUGCUACAGCAAGUGCAAUACGUUUGCCUUUGGUCUCAUUUGAAAGUGCCAAAUCUGAACCUUGUCCACGCGAUGGGUUAUACACACACACACACACGCCCGUCCUGUGGCCCUUUGGUAUGACCCUCAUAUGUGCCAUCUAGGAGCACAUGAACAAUGCCACCUGACGGCAUCCACAUUUCAUGCUAAAAGGUGCAAGGUGACAUGAACAAGUCCUGCAUGUAGCAGACGGGUCCGCUGGUGGCAGGGUGAAUGGGUUGUAUCGUUCUACUCCAUUCACAUCCAGAGCUGUAUUAAAAAAAAAAAAAAAACUGCAUUCCUCUACACAUUUGCACUGAGGCGGCAGGAUCAGACAUCUUGCUGCUGCCCCAGUGUUAGCACGGACCAGGAUAGGCCUUGUUCAGUAGUCUGAUGCAAGGGGGAUUGGGUCAAACCUUCCAUCUUGCAGGAGAGAUGGGGGGAACAUAACAGGAUCUUAAAGGGAUCAGCAAACGCCAGCUGUUCUGAAACUACAACUCCCAGAAUCUUCCUUUUACUUCUAUGGGAGUUGGAAAAACAGAAAAGUGUGCAUGAUGGGAGCUGUAGUUUCACAGCAGCUG
Molecule: long non-coding RNA, 1188 nt
Organism: Bufo bufo (common toad)
Lineage: Eukaryota; Metazoa; Chordata; Amphibia; Anura; Bufonidae
Exons: 3
Source: RefSeq, a predicted model, not a curated record